GGAAGGAUUGGGAUCUUACCUUGGUUCCGGUGGCAUCUCCGGUCUUGAUUUUCGGUGGGCACGGUGAAGGCAAUCAACGACUCCAUCGAAAGAAAAGAGGGAGAUAGAAGAGAGAGGAAGCCUGAUGUUUUCAUGGCUUGCUUAAGAUAAAGAAGAGGGAAUUUAUAGAUGGGAUCUAGGGCUCCUAGAGUCCCAAUCCCAUUCUGA
This 207-nucleotide long non-coding RNA is filed under the name Elaeis guineensis (African oil palm). RNAcentral's name for it is "long non-coding RNA (EGUI_LNC012402)". Lineage: Eukaryota; Viridiplantae; Streptophyta; Magnoliopsida; Arecales; Arecaceae. The record is from RNAcentral.